This is a long non-coding RNA of Contarinia nasturtii (swede midge), 1216 nucleotides long. RefSeq lists it as uncharacterized. NCBI's taxonomy places the organism in Eukaryota, Metazoa, Arthropoda, Insecta, Diptera, Cecidomyiidae. The record is from RefSeq and is a predicted model, not a curated record. The transcript is spliced from 3 exons.
UCAUUCAUGUCAAAGCACUUGAGUGAGUCAAACAAACCAUUUGUUUCCUAUAAUAUCAUUUGAGUAUUAAAACGAACCGAAUUUUUUAAAAUUCUAAAUAAUGUCGCCGAUGUCAGCAAUGGGUCAAUACUCUCUAUGCUGUGGAUUAUCGAAAAUAUUGAUAUAGGAGAUUGUUAUCAGAACCAUAACUUGUGCUUCACCGCUAACAAAUAUCAUUCUUAUCAAUUGUGGCUGAUAACUCGAAAACAAUAACUAUAAAAGCCAUAGCCAAAUUGGCAAUGAAUAUCACAGAAUAUUCAGAGCUCCAAAAUGCAUGCAAAAUUGUUUUUCUUAUUGAUAGUCACUGCUAUCGUUUGCACUUCAGCCGAAGAAACACCCGCCCAGAAAGAUCGUGAUUGUAUACAAAUUGGUAACAAAGAUGGCCGCGAUUUCACUGAGCAUCGAUGCCCUUUGAAAUGGUAUGUCGCUGGCCUGCAAUUUGUUGGACAUCAGAAUGGAGAAUCGGCGUAUCUUAUUACAUGUUGUCAAGAUGUAUAAUGGAUAAAAACCAAAUUGUUUUUUUUUGUUAUUAAGAAAGAUAAAGUGAAGUAAAAUUCAAAACCAAACCAAAGAAUUAAAGUGACACCAUGAUAUAUGAUCAGUUUGAUCAUGGAUAAUCGAGUAAUCGAUUAGAUUCUGCAAGAAUGUUUAUACAUUUGAAUAGCAGGCUUACUUUUUUUCCAUAGUAUUAAUUUAUUUGUUAAUUUUUUAAAAAUGUAUUUUGAAAUGAGUUUUAAACAAUUACGUCAUAACGUCAACGAUUUGUCAAAAGAUUAUUAUCGCAAUUGAUCGAAUUAUCAAUUGAAUUAUGGUUCUUCUGACGUAUUGCAACUUGUUGAAUUGCUAGAGCGAUUUUUUUGGAAGUCAAUUUUUUCAGAAUGGAAUCUAAAAGCCUCUUUUUGCUAAGAUUUUUCGAUUUGCUAUUGAUUUUUUUCCACAAUCACCGCAAUUUUGUCAUCAUUCACACUAUUGUGACUUCAAAAGCUUUGGUUAAAAAAAUCCACAUUUCUACAAAAAAUUAAUUCCCUACACAUUAUUUCUAUCAUCCCCUUCGCUCAAUAAAAAUUACUCUAGGUGAAAUGAUUAUUAAACGGCUCUGAAUUGUAAUUAUCCCGACUAUCACGUGUUCCAUUAAACUCAUAUAUUUUCAGUUAAACUGAACAUUUCAAAAAUUAAA